RNAcentral lists this long non-coding RNA (212 nucleotides) under Panax ginseng (ginseng). Its description in RNAcentral is "long non-coding RNA (PGIN_LNC018840)". Lineage: Eukaryota; Viridiplantae; Streptophyta; Magnoliopsida; Apiales; Araliaceae. The record is from RNAcentral.
CUCUUCUAUUAUUUAUGCUUUUAUGUUUAAUUGAUUUCGCCUUCAUGUUUCGUUAUUGAAAUACCUUCGUUUUAUAGUUCUUAUGUGAUUUUAAAUUAAUUAAGAGGUCUUGAUAGAUUAUUGUUAAGAUAUGAGUUUUUCAUAAUCCAUGCUUGCUCAAAGAAGUUUUGAUGGGUUAUAGUUAAUCCUUAAAUUUUCAUAGUCUAUGCUUG